GAUGAACGCUGGCGGCGUGCCUAAUACAUGCAAGUCGAGCGAACAGAUAAGGAGCUUGCUCCUUUGACGUUAGCGGCGGACGGGUGAGUAACACGUGGGUAACCUACCUAUAAGACUGGGAUAACUUCGGGAAACCGGAGCUAAUACCGGAUAAUAUUUCGAACCGCAUGGUUCGAUAGUGAAAGAUGGUUUUGCUAUCACUUAUAGAUGGACCCGCGCCGUAUUAGCUAGUUGGUAAGGUAACGGCUUACCAAGGCGACGAUACGUAGCCGACCUGAGAGGGGGAUCGGCCACACUGGAACUGAGACACGGUCCAGACUCCUACGGGAGGCAGCAGUAGGGAAUCUUCCGCAAUGGGCGAAAGCCUGACGGAGCAACGCCGCGUGAGUGAUGAAGGUCUUCGGAUCGUAAAACUCUGUUAUUAGGGAAGAACAUACGUGUAAGUAACUGUGCACGUCUUGACGGUACCUAAUCAGAAAGCCACGGCUAACUACGUG
RNAcentral lists this ribosomal RNA (497 nucleotides) under uncultured bacterium. Its description in RNAcentral is "partial 16S ribosomal RNA". It matches the Rfam family "Bacterial small subunit ribosomal RNA", at positions 28 to 507 of the family's 1533-position model. The record is from RNAcentral.